UACAGAGGUCUCAAGCGUUGUUCGGAUUCAUUGGGCGUAAAGGGUGCGUAGGCGGCGCGGUAAGUCGGGUGUGAAAUCUCGGAGCUUAACUCCGAAACUGCAUUCGAUACUGCCGUGCUUGAGGACUGGAGAGGAGACUGGAAUUUACGGUGUAGCGGUGAAAUGCGUAGAUAUCGUAAGGAAGACCAGUGGCGAAGGCGGGUCUCUGGUCUGUAACUGACGCUGAGGUGCGAAAGCUAGGGGAGCAAACGGG
Molecule: ribosomal RNA, 253 nt
Filed under: uncultured bacterium
Lineage: Bacteria
Description: partial 16S ribosomal RNA
Rfam family: Bacterial small subunit ribosomal RNA
Source: RNAcentral